GUUAAGCGACUAAGCGUACACGGUGGAUGCCCUGGCAGUCAGAGGCGAUGAAGGACGUGCUAAUCUGCGAUAAGCGUCGGUAAGGUGAUAUGAACCGUUAUAACCGGCGAUUUCCGAAUGGGGAAACCCAGUGUGAUUCGUCACACUAUCAUUAACUGAAUCCAUAGGUUAAUGAGGCGAACCGGGGGAACUGAAACAUCUAAGUACCCCGAGGAAAAGAAAUCAACCGAGAUUCCCCCAGUAGCGGCGAGCGAACGGGGAGCAGCCCAGAGCCU
RNAcentral lists this ribosomal RNA (275 nucleotides) under Escherichia coli. Its description in RNAcentral is "partial 23S ribosomal RNA". It matches the Rfam family "Bacterial large subunit ribosomal RNA", at positions 1 to 277 of the family's 2925-position model. The record is from RNAcentral. Lineage: Bacteria; Pseudomonadati; Pseudomonadota; Gammaproteobacteria; Enterobacterales; Enterobacteriaceae.